This 670-nucleotide ribosomal RNA is filed under the name Emericellopsis alkalina. RNAcentral describes it as "eukaryotic LSU rRNA". It matches the Rfam family "Eukaryotic large subunit ribosomal RNA", at positions 391 to 1091 of the family's 3401-position model. The record is from RNAcentral. Lineage: Eukaryota; Fungi; Ascomycota; Sordariomycetes; Hypocreales; Bionectriaceae.
AAUAGUACGUGAAAUUGCUGAAAGGGAAGCGCUUAUGACCAGACUUGGGCGCGGCGGAUCAUCCGGCGUUCUCGCCGGUGCACUCCACCGCCCCAGGCCAGCAUCAGUUCGCGCCGGGGGACAAAGGCUUCGGGAAUGUGGCUCCCUCGGGAGUGUUAUAGCCCGUUGCGUAAUACCCUGGUGCGGACUGAGGUCCGCGCUCUGCAAGGAUGCUGGCGUAAUGGUCAUCAGUGACCCGUCUUGAAACACGGACCAAGGAGUCGUCUUCGUAUGCGAGUGUUCGGGUGUCAAACCCCUACGCGGAAUGAAAGUGAACGUAGGAGAGAGCUUCGGCGCAUCUCCGACCGAUCCUGAUGUUCUCGGAUGGAUUUGAGUAAGAGCAUACGGGGCCGGACCCGAAAGAAGGUGAACUAUGCCUGUGUAGGGUGAAGCCAGAGGAAACUCUGGUGGAGGCUCGCAGCGGUUCUGACGUGCAAAUCGAUCGUCAAACAUGGGCAUGGGGGCGAAAGACUAAUCGAACCUUCUAGUAGCUGGUUUCCGCCGAAGUUUCCCUCAGGAUAGCAGUGUUGAACUCAGUUUUAUGAGGUAAAGCGAAUGAUUAGGGACCCGGGGGCGCUAUAUUGCCUUCAUCCAUUCUCAAACUUUAAAUAUGUAAGAAGCUCUUGUUGCU